GACGAACGCUGGCGGCGUGCUUAAUACAUGCAAGUUGAGCGCUGAAGGUUGGUACUUGUACCAACUGGAUGAGCAGCGAACGGGUGAGUAACGCGUGGGGAAUCUGCCUUUGAGCGGGGGACAACAUUUGGAAACGAAUGCUAAUACCGCAUAAAAACUUUAAACACAAGUUUUAAGUUUGAAAGAUGCAAUUACAUCACUCAAAGAUGAUCCCGCGUUGUAUUAGCUAGUUGGUGAGGUAAAGGCUCACCAAGGCGAUGAUACAUAGCCGACCUGAGAGGGUGAUCGGCCACAUUGGGGCUGAGACACGGCCCAAACUCCUACGGGAGGCAGCAGUAGGGAAUCUUCGGCAAUGGACGAAAGUCUGACCGAGCAACGCCGCGUGAGUGAAGAAGGUUUUCGGAUCGUAAAACUCUGUUGGUAGAGAAGAACGUUGGUGAGCGUGGAAAGCUCAUCAAGUGACGGUAACUACCCAGAAAGGGACGGCUAACUACGUG
This 497-nucleotide ribosomal RNA is filed under the name uncultured bacterium. RNAcentral's name for it is "partial 16S ribosomal RNA". It matches the Rfam family "Bacterial small subunit ribosomal RNA", at positions 28 to 507 of the family's 1533-position model. The record is from RNAcentral.